GUCUAUGGCCAUAUCUCCCUGAACAUACCUGAUCUUGGAAGCUAAGCAGGGCCAGGCCUGGUUAUUACUUGGAUGGGAGACUCCCUCAGAGCCCAUAGAAGGAAUGAACC
Molecule: ribosomal RNA, 110 nt
Filed under: Chinchilla lanigera (long-tailed chinchilla)
Lineage: Eukaryota; Metazoa; Chordata; Mammalia; Rodentia; Chinchillidae
Source: RNAcentral